CGGGAAGAUUGUAACCCCAUAGUACUAGACCAACGAGGAGCUGGGGGAGGGCCUUGCGUGCUAGGAGAUAAAUUACCUGUUGUAACUGCCCCGGGUAUGCCUGCCUACCGGACACCUGAUCUUGCAAGACCGCCAUUAAGUCUCGCUUCUGCUGCAUUUCGUGUCUCUGAGUCCAUUCUUUGAUUUUGGACAGUCCACUGCUUCCACCAAAGACAAAUCACAGCAGGACCAAUCUACCUGCAAAAUAAGCUGCAGUCCCAUAUAAUCGACCUGAUUACCCACACACAGUGCAGCAAGAAUCAUUGUCCAUAUAGACUCUCCCAAAUCAGCUUUGCUGGAACAUCUCACAAGACCAUUUCAGUCAAAGCCCUGAGAAAAUAACCAGUUCCUGGCCAGGUGUGGUGGCUCACACCUGUAAUCCCAGCACUUUGGGAGGCCGAGGUGGGUGGAUCAUGAGGUCAGGAGAUCGAGACCAUCCUGGCUAACAUGGUGAAACCCUGUCUCUCCUAAAA
Molecule: long non-coding RNA, 512 nt
Filed under: Homo sapiens (human)
Lineage: Eukaryota; Metazoa; Chordata; Mammalia; Primates; Hominidae
Description: HSALNT0167389
Source: RNAcentral